This 301-nucleotide ribosomal RNA is filed under the name uncultured bacterium. Its description in RNAcentral is "partial 16S ribosomal RNA". It matches the Rfam family "Bacterial small subunit ribosomal RNA", at positions 509 to 807 of the family's 1533-position model. The record is from RNAcentral.
CAGUAGCCGCGGGAAAACGUAGGGUGCGAGCGUUAAUCGGAAUUACUGGGCGUAAAGCGUGCGCAGGCGGUUUGUUAAGACAGAUGUGAAAUCCCCGGGCUUAACCUGGGAACUGCAUUUGUGACCGGCCGGCUAGAGUAUGGCAGAGGGAGGUGGAAUUCCACGUGUAGCAGUGAAAUGCGUAGAUAUGUGGAGGAACACCGAUGGCGAAGGCAGCCUCCUGGGCCAAUACUGACGCUCAUGCACGAGAGCGUGGGGAGCAAACAGGAUUAGAUACCCCCGUAGUCCCUGUCUCUUAUAC